RNAcentral lists this ribosomal RNA (97 nucleotides) under Paenibacillus favisporus. RNAcentral's name for it is "partial 23S ribosomal RNA". It matches the Rfam family "Bacterial large subunit ribosomal RNA", at positions 2828 to 2925 of the family's 2925-position model. RNAcentral also lists the same sequence under 1 other name. The record is from RNAcentral. Lineage: Bacteria; Bacillati; Bacillota; Bacilli; Caryophanales; Paenibacillaceae.
GUAAGACCCCUUGUAGACGACGAGGUAGAUAGGUUGGAGGUGGAAGUGCAGCAAUGCAUGGAGCUGACCAAUACUAAUCGGUCGAGGGCUUAUCCAA